RNAcentral lists this transfer RNA (71 nucleotides) under Loxodonta africana (African savanna elephant). It matches the Rfam family "tRNA". From Rfam's summary of the family: Transfer RNA (tRNA) molecules are approximately 80 nucleotides in length. Their secondary structure includes four short double-helical elements and three loops (D, anti-codon, and T loops). The record is from Rfam by way of RNAcentral. Lineage: Eukaryota; Metazoa; Chordata; Mammalia; Proboscidea; Elephantidae.
GUAAUGGUGGUUCAGUGGUAGAAUUCUCACCUUCCUUGCGGGAGACUCGGGUUCGAUUCCUGGCCAGUGCU